UCGCAAAUCAUUGAAAUUAUAACACAACAAUGGCAAAGGUCUUUACAGUAAAGAUAUUAAUUUAUUCAAACUAAAGGACAUAAACAUCACCGAAACUCUUCCAAAUUAAAGUAUGAAACAUUUUAGCUUAGAAACAUACCUAGACAAUUUCUUUAUUCAAACUUAACAUUUUCCAACAAGAACAAAUAAGCGAUAGGAUCAAGAAUAAUAGAUAUUCAAACUUUACAUUUUCCAACAAGAACGAACCCUUCUUCUUGGAAUUUCUGCAACAUUAUACUCUUGUGGAAAGAUAACAAGAGUUUAUACCUUCAUAUAUAAAUGCUCAAGUUCCUGCAAGAUUAAACAAUGCAAGAUUAAACAAUACUGGGAUUAAAAUUUACAACGAGAAUUAAUUAUUAGAGAUAAAUAGAUCGAUAAAACAAUAGUAGCCACAUAUAGAAGGGAUUUUACUUGGAAAAGAAAAUGUUCCAUACUAAUGGAUUGAGGUCCAUAACCAUGGGUUACAUGAAUGCACCAAAACCAAAGCAAGCCACCCUUGAGAGAAAUAAAUGAAUUCCAAGA
Molecule: long non-coding RNA, 561 nt
Filed under: Olea europaea subsp. europaea
Lineage: Eukaryota; Viridiplantae; Streptophyta; Magnoliopsida; Lamiales; Oleaceae
Source: RNAcentral